Long non-coding RNA from Haliotis rubra (blacklip abalone), 208 nucleotides. RefSeq lists it as uncharacterized. NCBI's taxonomy places the organism in Eukaryota, Metazoa, Mollusca, Gastropoda, Lepetellida, Haliotidae. The transcript is spliced from 2 exons. The record is from RefSeq and is a predicted model, not a curated record.
UGGGACUUCUGAAUUUUAAUACCAUUCACAUGUUCAACAGUAUUUACAUGAUAUUGGAUGUACACAUUAUCCUGUAAAGGUACAGUACUAGAUAAUCCUUUACACGUUGUGAUCCUAGGUGACAGCUCUCCUGACAUCACACGUGACCCCAGUAUUUCCGGUCACGUGGUCAUACGCGGUGCUGUCAACUAACAUCAGAAAGCGUACA